Molecule: non-coding RNA, 85 nt
Organism: Musca domestica (house fly)
Lineage: Eukaryota; Metazoa; Arthropoda; Insecta; Diptera; Muscidae
Source: Rfam
AGUCCACGUUUGUAAGAAAUGUUUGAUUCAAGAGGGUUAGCUAUUUUCCCCCUCUUGAAUCAAACAUUUCUUACAAACGUGAACU